RNAcentral lists this ribosomal RNA (478 nucleotides) under uncultured bacterium. RNAcentral describes it as "bacterial SSU rRNA". It matches the Rfam family "Bacterial small subunit ribosomal RNA", at positions 28 to 507 of the family's 1533-position model. The record is from RNAcentral.
GACGAACGCUGGCGGCGUGCCUAACACAUGCAAGUCAACUUGACUGAAGGAGCAAUCUGACAGUAGAGUGGCGCAAGGGUGCGUAACGCGUAAGUAACUUGCCCAGGGUAAGGAAUAACGUCGAGAAAUCGGCGCUAAUACCUCAUAAUGCAGCGGAUCCGCAUGGAUAUGUUGUUAAAGGUUUACCGCCUUGGGAUAGGCUUGCGUCUGAUUAGCUAGUUGGUGUGGUAACGGCACACCAAGGCUACGAUCAGUAACUGGUCUGAGAGGAUGAUCAGUCACACUGGAACUGAGACACGGUCCAGACUCCUACGGGAGCAGCAGUGAGGAAUAUUGGGCAAUGCUCGAAAGAGUGACCCAGCAACGCCGCGUGGAGGAUGAAGGUAUUCUAUAUCGUAAACUCCUGUGAGAGCAGACGAAAGACAGAUUAUUAAUCUGGAUGACUGUAUGCUUAGAGGAAGCCCCGGCUAACUACGUG